GGGCUUUGUUUUAUGGGGACAUACUUCUGAUAGGAGGGGUCUUCAUCUAGUUUCUUGAGCAAAUGUUUGUAUACCAAAAGACCAUGGUGGUCUGAGUUUGUGUUUAUUGGCGCAAAUGAGGUAUGCUUUCUUAUGUAAGAUGGCUGUGCAUGUGGUCUUGAAACCUGACUCUUUAUGGGCGAAAGUGAAACCUGACUCUUUUUUUUUUUACUAGUUUUUGUUCUAUCAUUGCAUCUCCAGAGUCUUUCAGAAUAUUUCGUCUAAAUCAUUACAUUUUUUUUUCAUAAUCUAUAAAAUUUGGAUUUAUAGCUGUACGUUGUCUAUUUUGUGUUAAUGCUUUUUGGUGGAUAGCUAUAUUCUUCCUUAAUUCCUGGGAUUUUCUUCAUUUACUUGCUGUUAUCACUAGAAUCCGAGGAUAAAGUAUGGGCUUGGAUGUCUCACAUCUAAUUCUAUGUAAUUCUCUUUUUCUUGGAGUUAACCUUUUCUUUUGUUGCUUUUUAUUGACCGAAAUUGGUCCAUUGCAUUGUUAUUGCUUGAAGGUCUUUCCUCUGCUCUUUUGGUGUGCUUUUGAGGUUUAAUUGUUUUGGGUGGGAAAAAUUGUGUUACAAGCUCAUGAUUAAUAGAUAACAAGAUUGUUCUCUUGUAUUUCCCUCCUUCCCACCAUUUGUGUUACUCGAUCUAUUGUUCUGCUUCUUUGUUUAGCUGACUGAGCUCUUUUUGCUUAUUUUUCACUGAAAUUGUGCCUCCCGUUAUUAUCUUGUUUAAAGCAUUACUGAAUGUUUUGAACUCUGAUUUGAUAACUCACUGGUGAUAUGGAACAUUGAAUGGAGAUUUGUAGGAGAUUUUUGGCCCAACACAUACUCGUAUGUUGACAGGGCUUUACACAUAUGGUGUCUUUUUAUCCUUAUGUUUGCACCAAUAAUGUGGCUUACAUGUUCUUCAUGUGAUCUAAGAACUAGAUCAGUUUCAUAUCAUCUCCAACAUGGCAAUCAUGAUUGUCAUGCAGAACAGCUUUACAAGCUGAUUCAUUACAUUCAAUGCUACUGUGCCUUUUCCUUGUCUUCUUUUUUUAAAGGAAAUUGCUUCUUAGUACUAUGACUUUAUCUAUAAUCAUAUGUUUACAUGUGUUCUCUUAUGUUUAUUGAUCACUUCAAUUGGACUCUAUCAUCUAGGUACCCAUCAUACUGUCGACCAAAUAUAUGGCCUUCCAUUUCUUUGCCUGAGCUUGAACAAGGUACAUGGGCAUCUCUCCUCUGAAUCCAUAUAUGUGAAUAAUACUGGAGAAGGUUCUUCAGUCUGUUGGGUAAAUUGUAUAUUAUCAUCUUCAUGAGAUUCCUAAGAGGAAGUUAUAUCCAUCACUGUGAGAACUUUGAGAAUAUGGUCCCUUCCAAUUCUCAUUUGAAAUGCUUCUGAAAUGUUGAGUGAUUCAUGUUGGUAGAAUUAAUUGGGUGAUUCUCAUAAUAAAUUUUCCUGUAAUUUCUUUCUCUAAUUAUUUUAACUAUUCUUUUAUAGAUCCAAGAUUCUUCACGCUUAUUCUCUGAUUCAAAUUCUAGCAUCCAUCACUCAAGUUCUUGACCCAAAGAUUCAUCAACACCUAGCUUCUUUUUUUCAGUCAAAGUUUGUUCUGUUAUGACAGUAUGCGGUUUUCUUGUCAAAGUUUGUUCUACUUGAUGGAUGUUUCCUCCUUCAAAUGUUUAAUGAGGAUCUGCAAGCGGAGGAGCUCAGAUCGCUUUUCGACGAUAAUGUGUGCCUCAAAUGUCAUAUUCUUGUAGACCUGAUGUUGCUAGAAAAUCAACUUCCGUAUUUCAUUGUCCAGCAUCUCCUCGAAACACUGGGGAUGCCAGAGUGGGAUAGCUCCCGCCUUCUGAAUGCUGCCAUCGAUGCGUUCGAUGACUUUCCGCCAUCGUUCUGGAGAGGUCCACAGCCAGAGCUGCCCGCCGAAGGCUUCGAUGUGGAUCAUUUACUCCACUUGAUCCACCGAUGGAUCCGGCGAUUCCCAAAAUCAGAGGUGACCAACACAGCAAGCUACAGUAAACGAUCAAGGACUACUUAUUCUGCUUUAUCCCUAAUAAUCGACAAGACUGGGGAUUGGCUCUCCAAGGUGUUGCCGCGCCGUACCAAUUCUUCGAGUUCAGAGGAGACACGAGAUGGAUGUCACUGAAUAUACCAAGUUUCUGGAUG
Non-coding RNA from Phoenix dactylifera (date palm), 2181 nucleotides. NCBI's taxonomy places the organism in Eukaryota, Viridiplantae, Streptophyta, Magnoliopsida, Arecales, Arecaceae. The record is from RefSeq and is a predicted model, not a curated record.